UACGUAGGGCGCAAGCGUUGUCCGGAAUUAUUGGGCGUAAAGAGCUCGUAAGCGGUUUGUCGCGUCUGUCGUGAAAGCUUGGGGCUUAACCCCAAGUCUGCGGUGGAUACGGGCAGACUAGAGGCAGGUAGGGGAGAACGGAAUUCCCGGUGUAGCGGUGAAAUGCGCAGAUAUCAGGAGGAACACCGGUGGCGAAAGCGGCUUCCUGGCCCGACAUUGACGCUCAUGUACGAAAGCGUGGGGAGCAAACAGG
RNAcentral lists this ribosomal RNA (253 nucleotides) under uncultured bacterium. Its description in RNAcentral is "partial 16S ribosomal RNA". It matches the Rfam family "Bacterial small subunit ribosomal RNA", at positions 524 to 776 of the family's 1533-position model. The record is from RNAcentral.